UAAAAUGUAGUGUAUUGGGAGCACGAAGAGUUUUGAUCUCUGAGGUAUAGGUUCAAUUCCUAUUUUUUUAU
Molecule: transfer RNA, 71 nt
Filed under: Siphonops annulatus
Lineage: Eukaryota; Metazoa; Chordata; Amphibia; Gymnophiona; Siphonopidae
Description: tRNA-Gln
Rfam family: tRNA
About the family: Transfer RNA (tRNA) molecules are approximately 80 nucleotides in length. Their secondary structure includes four short double-helical elements and three loops (D, anti-codon, and T loops). Further hydrogen bonds mediate the characteristic L-shaped molecular structure. tRNAs have two regions of fundamental functional importance: the anti-codon, which is responsible for specific mRNA codon recognition, and the 3' end, to which the tRNAs corresponding amino acid is attached (by aminoacyl-tRNA synthetases). tRNAs cope with the degeneracy of the genetic code in two manners: having more than one tRNA (with a specific anti-codon) for a particular amino acid; and 'wobble' base-pairing, i.e. permitting non-standard base-pairing at the 3rd anti-codon position.
Source: RNAcentral